AAGACCUUGCGCUUUUGGAGCGGCCGAUGCCUGAUUAGCUUGUUGGUGAGGUAAAAGCUCACCAAGGCUUCGAUCAGUAGCUGGUCUGAGAGGACGACCAGCCACACUGGGACUGAGACACGGCCCAGACUCCUACGGGAGGCAGCAGUGGGGAAUUUUGGACAAUGGGGGCAACCCUGAUCCAGCCAUGCCGCGUGAGUGAAGAAGGCCUUCGGGUUGUAAAGCUCUUUCAGCCGGAACGAAACGGUCACGGCUAAUACCUGUGACUACUGACGGUACCGGAAGAAGAAGCACCGGCUAACUACGUGCCAGCAGCCGCGGUAAUACGUAGGGUGCGAGCGUUAAUCGGAAUUACUGGGCGUAAAGCGUGCGCAGGCGGUUUUGUAAGUCAGAUGUGAAAUCCCCAGGCUUAACCUGGGAACU
Molecule: ribosomal RNA, 423 nt
Filed under: uncultured bacterium
Lineage: Bacteria
Description: bacterial SSU rRNA
Rfam family: Bacterial small subunit ribosomal RNA
Source: RNAcentral